UCUCUGGUAGUAUAUCGGUUAGUACACGCGCCUGUCAUAUUUGAUGCAUACCAGAAUUCGCGCGAAAGCUGGGUUCGACUCCCAGCCAGAGAG
RNAcentral lists this transfer RNA (93 nucleotides) under Armillaria solidipes. RNAcentral describes it as "tRNA-Asp". It matches the Rfam family "tRNA". Rfam says of the family: Transfer RNA (tRNA) molecules are approximately 80 nucleotides in length. Their secondary structure includes four short double-helical elements and three loops (D, anti-codon, and T loops). Lineage: Eukaryota; Fungi; Basidiomycota; Agaricomycetes; Agaricales; Physalacriaceae. The record is from RNAcentral.